This 372-nucleotide unclassified non-coding RNA is filed under the name uncultured Gammaproteobacteria bacterium. Its description in RNAcentral is "contains 16S-23S intergenic spacer region". Lineage: Bacteria; Pseudomonadati; Pseudomonadota; Gammaproteobacteria. The record is from RNAcentral.
UCCGGUUUGUCACCGGCAGUCUCAUUAGAGUGCCCUUUCGUAGCAACUAAUGACAAGGGUUGCGCUCGUUGCGGGACUUAACCCAACAUCUCACGACACGAGCUGACGACAGCCAUGCAGCACCUGUGUAUCGGCUCUCCUUCGAGCACCCCGAGAUCUCUCCCGGGUUCCGACCAUGUCAAGGGUAGGUAAGGUUUUUCGCGUUGCAUCGAAUUAAUCCACAUAAUCCACCGCUUGUGCGGGUCCCCGUCAAUUCCUUUGAGUUUUAACCUUGCGGCCGUACUCCCCAGGCGGUCAACUUCACGCGUUAGCUACGGUACCAAGGAAUCGCUUCCCCAACACCCAGUUGACAUCGUUUAGGGCGUGGACUAC